Non-coding RNA from Mus musculus (house mouse), 348 nucleotides. NCBI's taxonomy places the organism in Eukaryota, Metazoa, Chordata, Mammalia, Rodentia, Muridae. The record is from the annotation of a RefSeq genome assembly.
AUGAGCAUGUGGCUUCUCUGGUAUGUAGCCCUUUAUCUCCUAGUAGCAGGCUCUUUGGAUUGCCAAGUUAUCCAGACUCCAUGACGUCUUUUCAAAGGCAAAGGACAGAAAGCAAAAAUGAGCUGUAUCCCAGAAAAGGGACAUUCUUUUGUUUAUUGGUACCAACAGAAGCAGAAAGAAGAGUUAAAGUUUUUUUAUUUUUUUUUCAACAUCAAGAAGCUCAUGACAGAACAGACUUGUUCAAGAAGUGACUCUUAGCUAAGUGUCCCUUAAGCUCACCCUGCAGCUUGGAAAUCAGUUCCUCUGAGGCUGGAGACUCAGUGUUAUACCUCUGUGCCAGCAGUUGUC